UACGAAGGGGGCUAGCGUUGCUCGGAAUUACUGGGCGUAAAGGGAGCGUAGGCGGAUAGUUUAGUCAGAGGUGAAAGCCCAGGGCUCAACCUUGGAACUGCCUUUGAUACUGGCUAUCUUGAGUAUGGGAGAGGUGAGUGGAACUCCGAGUGUAGAGGUGAAAUUCGUAGAUAUUCGGAAGAGCACCAGUGGCGAAGGCGGCUCACUGGCCCGAUACUGACGCUGAGGCACGAAAGCGUGGGGAGCAAACAGG
RNAcentral lists this ribosomal RNA (253 nucleotides) under uncultured bacterium. Its description in RNAcentral is "partial 16S ribosomal RNA". It matches the Rfam family "Bacterial small subunit ribosomal RNA", at positions 524 to 776 of the family's 1533-position model. The record is from RNAcentral.